This 253-nucleotide ribosomal RNA is filed under the name uncultured Eubacteriales bacterium. Its description in RNAcentral is "uncultured Clostridiales bacterium partial 16S ribosomal RNA". It matches the Rfam family "Bacterial small subunit ribosomal RNA", at positions 524 to 776 of the family's 1533-position model. The record is from RNAcentral. Lineage: Bacteria; Bacillati; Bacillota; Clostridia; Eubacteriales.
UACGUAUGGUGCAAGCGUUAUCCGGAUUUACUGGGUGUAAAGGGAGUGUAGGCGGCUCAUCAAGUUAGAUGUGAAAUCCCGCGGCUUAACCGCGGAACUGCAUCUAAAACUGGUAAGCUGGAGUGCAGGAGAGGUGAGUGGAAUUCCUAGUGUAGCGGUGGAAUGCGUAGAUAUUAGGAGGAACACCAGUGGCGAAGGCGGCUUACUGGACUGUAACUGACGCUGAGGCUCGAAAGCGUGGGGAGCAAACAGG